AACACAUGCAAGUCGAGGGGCAGCAUGGUCUUAGCUUGCUAAGGCUGAUGGCGACCGGCGCACGGGUGAGUAACACGUAUCCAACCUGCCGUCUACUCUUGGCCAGCCUUCUGAAAGGAAGAUUAAUCCAGGAUGGGAUCAUGAGUUCACAUGUCCGCAUGAUUAAAGGUAUUUUCCGGUAGACGAUGGGGAUGCGUUCCAUUAGAUAGUAGGCGGGGUAACGGCCCACCUAGUCAACGAUGGAUAGGGGUUCUGAGAGGAAGGUCCCCCACAUUGGAACUGAGACACGGUCCAAACUCCUACGGGAGGCAGCAGUGAGGAAUAUUGGUCAAUGGGCGAUGGCCUGAACCAGCCAAGUAGCGUGAAGGAUGACUGCCCUAUGGGUUGUAAACUUCUUUUAUAAAGGAAUAAAGUCGGGUAUGCAUACCCGUUUGCAUGUACUUUAUGAAUAAGGAUCGGCUAACUCCGUGCCAGCAGCCGCGGUAAUACGGAGGAUCCGAGCGUUAUCCGGAUUUAUUGGGUUUAAAGGGAGCGUAGAUGGAUGUUUAAGUCAGUUGUGAAAGUUUGCGGCUCAACCGUAAAAUUGCAGUUGAUACUGGAUGUCUUGAGUGCAGUUGAGGCAGGCGGAAUUCGUGGUGUAGCGGUGAAAUGCUUAGAUAUCACGAAGAACUCCGAUUGCGAAGGCAGCCUGCUAAGCUGCAACUGACAUUGAGGCUCGAAAGUGUGGGUAUCAA
RNAcentral lists this ribosomal RNA (734 nucleotides) under uncultured Bacteroidales bacterium. RNAcentral describes it as "bacterial SSU rRNA". It matches the Rfam family "Bacterial small subunit ribosomal RNA", at positions 50 to 771 of the family's 1533-position model. The record is from RNAcentral. Lineage: Bacteria; Pseudomonadati; Bacteroidota; Bacteroidia; Bacteroidales.